RNAcentral lists this unclassified non-coding RNA (357 nucleotides) under uncultured bacterium. RNAcentral describes it as "contains 16S-23S intergenic spacer region". The record is from RNAcentral.
UCCGUGUUAACCACGGCAGUCUCGCAUGAAAAACAACAUGCAAUGAGGGUUGCGCUCGUUACCCCACUGAAGGGAACAAUUCACAUCACGAGCUGACGACAACCGUGCAGCACCUGUCUAGCCACUAAGAUCUCUUCUUUCGAAGGUCACAUAGGCUAGAUUUCUAGGCCUGGUGAGGUUCCUCGCUUAUCGUCGAAUUAAACCACACGCUCCACCGCUUGUGCGGGCCCCCGUCUAUUCCUUUGAGUUUUAGCCUUGCGGCCGUACUACCCAGGCGGUCGACUUAACGCGUUAGCUUCGACACUGAGACGAUCGAAGUCCCAAUGCCUAGUCGACAUCGUUUACGGCGUAGAUUAC